RNAcentral lists this ribosomal RNA (468 nucleotides) under uncultured bacterium. Its description in RNAcentral is "partial 16S ribosomal RNA". It matches the Rfam family "Bacterial small subunit ribosomal RNA", at positions 28 to 507 of the family's 1533-position model. The record is from RNAcentral.
GACGAACGCUGGCGGCGUGCUUAACACAUGCAAGUCGAACGGUGAACCUCUUCGGAUGUGGUCAGUUGCGAACGGGUGCGUAACACGUAGGCAACCUUCCCCCGGCUCUGGGAUAACUCCAAGAAAUGGGGACUAAUACCGAUUGUUCACCGCUUCCCCCAUGGGUGGGUGUGAAAAGGGUUUCCUGGGCGGUUGGGGAUGGCCUCGCGGCUUAUCAGCUUGUUGGUGGGGUAGUGGCUUACCAAGGCGUUGACGGGUAGCCGGCCUGAGAGGGUGACCGGCCACAUUGGGACUGAGAUACGGCCCAGACUCCUACGGGAGGCAGCAGUGGGGAAUAUUGCGCAAUGGGCGGAAGCCUGAUGCAGCAACGCCGCGUGCGGGAUGACGGCCUUCGGGUUGUAAACCGCUUUCGCCUGGGACGAAGCGUGAGUGACGGUAAUGGGUAAAGAAGCACCGGCUAACUACGUG